This is a long non-coding RNA of Chroicocephalus ridibundus (black-headed gull), 348 nucleotides long. RefSeq lists it as uncharacterized. Lineage: Eukaryota; Metazoa; Chordata; Aves; Charadriiformes; Laridae. The record is from RefSeq and is a predicted model, not a curated record. The transcript has 4 exons.
CGGGCUGGGACCCGCCGCCCACCCCCCUCCCCCCCCACCACCCCCUCCCCCCCCCCCCCAGCCCGCCUUCAACCCCGCCGCCCCCCGACCAGGUCCAGGCCAUGGCUGGCGCGUAGCCCCUCCCCCGCCCGGCGCCACCCGCUGAACACGCUGCGCUAGAAGACGGAUGGGAAAGAUGAUUGGCUGCCAGGCGAGGGGCGCCCUGUGAUUGGCCGGAUUCCGGGAGAGCGUCGCCCGAUAGGUGUAUGCAGUGAGGGCGGGGCCGCCCCAGCCCAGCAGCCGCCCCUCCCCCCCCCGGGGCUGCCCCGCACCCGCCCCCGCGGGGGGGGCCCGGGGGGCCCGGAGCGG